This 497-nucleotide ribosomal RNA is filed under the name uncultured bacterium. Its description in RNAcentral is "partial 16S ribosomal RNA". It matches the Rfam family "Bacterial small subunit ribosomal RNA", at positions 28 to 507 of the family's 1533-position model. The record is from RNAcentral.
GAUGAACGCUGGCGGCGUGCCUAAUACAUGCAAGUCGAGCGAACAGACGAGGAGCUUGCUCCUCUGACGUUAGCGGCGGACGGGUGAGUAACACGUGGAUAACCUACCUAUAAGACUGGGAUAAAUUCGGGAAACCGGAGCUAAUACCGGAUAAUAUAUUGAACCGCAUGGUUCAAUAGUGAAAGACGGUUUUGCUGUCACUUAUAGAUGGAUCCGCGCCGCAUUAGCUAGUUGGUAAGGUAACGGCUUACCAAGGCAACGAUGCGUAGCCGACCUGAGAGGGUGAUCGGCCAGACUGGAUCUGAGACACGGUCCAGACACCUACGGGAGGCAGCAGUAGGGAAUUUUCCGCAAUGGGCGAAUGCCUGACGGAGCAACGCCGCGUGAGUGAUGAAGGUCUUCGGAUCGUAAAACGCUGUUAUUAGGGAAGAACAAAUGUGUAAGUAACGAUGCACAUCUUGACGGUACCUAAUCAGAAAGCCACGGCUAACUACGUG